Molecule: long non-coding RNA, 1283 nt
Organism: Aphis gossypii (cotton aphid)
Lineage: Eukaryota; Metazoa; Arthropoda; Insecta; Hemiptera; Aphididae
Exons: 4
Source: RefSeq, a predicted model, not a curated record
GUUGCCCGUUGGUCCGAAACUCCCACCGAAAUGCGUCAGUCGCCGGGCGCGCUCCGGCGGGUGUGUGGGUUCAUUCAUCAGGCACCCGGCACCGAUCGGGCGAGUCGUCCGGCGGCGGCGUGUGCUGAAGGAAAAGCGAGCGAGAAAAAAAAAAAGAAGAGAAAAAACCUUAAAAACCGAUCGCGCGUGAGUGUGCGCGCGCCCGCGGUGGUGCUGUUCAGUCGUAGUCCGAUCGUUUCGUUGUUGCCGUCGUCUAUCGUUUUACUCUCCCUCGAUUCAUUCGUUCCCGACGGCGUUGUCGUUAGUGGCGGCGUUUACACCCCCGAAGAAAGACGGCCUAAGGAUAUCGCGCUUAUCACUGUUAGACGAAUUGCCUAUCACUAGAUGGGAACAAUGAAAACAACAAGCGUUCAGUUAAAAAUUUUCGCUAGAUUUAACUAAAACAAAAAAGAAAGAAAAACGAGUUUUAUUCAUUGACCAACACACGAAGCCUUAUAAUAUUGUUACCAGACACCGGUAGUAUGAGACUGUAAGCCACCAGGUAUCGGGUUUCGACAGUCGUCUUGCAUUACCACGUGUUCCCACCCAUCAACCCUGAGGAAAUUGUACUCGCAUGGGAAUGGAAACAAAUGAGUACCUGCCUACUGUUAUAUUUUAUGCAACGUCGCUGCUGCACACCUUUUCCCUCUAUAUGCGAUAAUAGGAUAGAUCAUCAUAGAACAAAACUAUUUUGCGUAUAUAAGUCAAAGGAUUCCCGACGGACAAGCACAGUAUUCACAACACUCUUCUUUUGGAUGUAUCAAAGUGUAUCCAUACAUAGUAUAUAAAACGAGAGCUGUGUAUUCGGAUUGUUAAACGUCAGUGAAUACUGGUUUCGUAGUGGUGCAUAGAAGUAAUUUUUGAACUAGUCUAGCACCAUUUGAAACCAGUACUUAUUGAUGUGACGUCUUCAGAAGAUCUUAUUCAUUUAGUAGAGAAAAGUGACAUACACGUUGGAUGAAGACUGCAAAAAGACAAAUGCAGUCAUGUGUUAAUAAACAGUAAGCAAAGGAAUUUAAUUUUCAUAAGACACAAAACAGUAAAUAAACAGCAAAAUGCACAUGCUUUGAAGAAAAAUAAAUGCCUUGAUAUUUAAAUGUUGUUUUCACAUAUAAAUUUUGCUACUUUAAACAUUACAGAUUUUAAUCCAACAGUAAAUUGAUUGAUUAAACAGUAACACAAAAAAAAAGAAUAUUUUAUUAAAAAAAACUGAAAGAAUAUAUAAAUAGUUAAACAUGGGUUGA